UUAAUUUUAUAAUUUGAGAAACGGCUGGAUUCAUUAAUGCAUGCCAAUACUCCUGGAACAGAGAUCUCUGGAUAGGCAAGAGUUAAGACGAUCAUCUGCAUUCAUGGUUAUUUUUGUUUCUUGCUAUCCAUGAAGAAUACCUGAAAUAUUACUUGACGGCCUACUGUAUGCUGCAAGAGGCUCAAUGGAAACAACAUAUAGCAGGGGUGCCAGCGUAAACCAGUAAGUAUCUGGUGUGACCACUGUUUGCCUCACGCAGUGCAACACAUCUCCU
Molecule: non-coding RNA, 274 nt
Organism: Pelobates cultripes (western spadefoot toad)
Lineage: Eukaryota; Metazoa; Chordata; Amphibia; Anura; Pelobatidae
Source: the annotation of a GenBank genome assembly